AAAUAGGAUUUUUUAAAAUCCACUUGUGGGUAAACAUAAAUUAUG
This is a non-coding RNA of Heterocephalus glaber (naked mole-rat), 45 nucleotides long. The record is from Rfam. Lineage: Eukaryota; Metazoa; Chordata; Mammalia; Rodentia; Bathyergidae.